GGCCAGGAGGGUCCCCACAAUGGCAGCGCUUCUGCCUCCUUAGGGCUUUCUCCAGAGCCCAGUUCCCUGCUGUUCCCAAAUAUGCAGCCCUCUAUGGCCUCUGUUUGCACCACCUGCCCUAUCCUGGACCCUCUGAGCCUGUGAUCUCUGGGCAGGAAGGAGGGACUUCUGCUUCCUGCGCUGUAGCCCUAAGCCAGGAGAGACCCACGUCCAUGGCUUUGCUUGGAUCUUCCCCCAGGUACACGUGCUCUGGUCCUCUGAGUCUUUCCAUCACCACAGCCGCUAGCCACUUAGCAAACUCCUCUGUUCUUCAAGACCCAGCCUGAUCCCUCCUCCUUGGUGAAGCCCGCCAUGGCCCUCUUGUGCCCUGAAUAGUUAUUUGCCAUAUUAGGCCCCCUGGCCCGCUGCCUGGCUGUUGUUAUACUCUCGUCUGUCUGUCUCCUCUGUGAGGCCCCAGACUCCUGGAGGGCAAGGUCUCAUGGGCCCUGUCUAAUGCCAGAUAAGGGGUGGCUUAUUCAACUAAUGCUUGGUUGAUCAAAUGAAUGAAUGAUGAGAAAAGUCAUGAAGCCAGUGAAGAAUUGAGCAUGCGCGCGCUCGCGCGAGCGCGCGUGCACACACACGCACUCCCCAGCAAGAGCCCUCACAGAAGCCGUCCUUGCCUGUUUGGCUACAACUGUUCUCUCUCUGAGCCCCACCCGAGCCAGACAAGGCUUGGAGGGAGCCUUUGGGAAGAUGCAGCAUCCUGCCCAUUGACCUGGCUCCGGGGACAGUCAAAAGCCACCUCAACCUUGCUGAAUGCUGGCUCCCUGAUGCCAUCAAGGAACGCAAGCCCGAUGAGGAAGGCAGGCAGGAAACAUGGCACGCAGAACACGAGAAGGCUUCCUCCAGGAGGCGCAGAGCCCACGCUCUCACGUAACUGAGAGAACGGCUCGGGGUCCGAAUGGAAGGAGCAGCGUGUGAGACCCAGACGAGAUGUCCCUUCUACCUGCCAGCUCAAGACACGGAACAGGAGCCAGGCUGGAACCGGGUGCGAAAUAGGACACAGCCACGGGGCCGGGGCCCCCGAGGGACAAGGAGCCAAGCUGACCCUUGUAAAAGCUCAGACCCCAGCAUGGAGUCCCCUCAGAACGCCCCCGAUGCCACUUCAUGCCUUAGAGGUCACAGAGGCAAGUCCCUGAUGAGAGAGUGAGAGUGGGACAGGUAACUUGAUGAGACCGCCCUAUAUUUGUCACCAGGGCAGCAGAAUGGUGCUCGCCUCUGGAGGACCCCACCAGCUUUCCACAUCCUUAAGUUCUGCUGUGGCCAGGGAAGGGAUGUUUGUCGUCUCUGAAACGCAUGAGCUCCAGGGCUGGGACCCUUCAUCUGUAUCUGCCCGGCUCUCAGCCCAGCCCGGCUCUGGGAAUGCUUAUAAACUACAGUCGGUUCAUCCCGUGUAACUGAUGAAGGAGCUAAUGCGCCGGAAGGUGGCCUGGCCGACGGGCCUGGGGUUUGCGUGCACACGCCCAAGUUCCAGGUGGCUUGCACGUGCAACAGGCCGCCACAUACGUGCUCCCUCCUGCUUCUCAGUAGGCAGAAGCAUGCUGACCCACCUUCACGUGCCCCCAUGCCAGUGUGGUGCAAAACCAUCUUGCGGGACUCCCUCCCCCCAAGUUGUUCCCUUCGAAUCGACUCCCUCAGCAGCCCAUCCCCUGAAAUCUGUCGUUUGUUAGCGACAGUCCUACCAAGCAUUGCUCCCAGACCCAUUCUCCAUAAGACCAAGGUGUCGGGAAGGAGCUAGCUGAAGGCCCCGGGGGACCCUCCUCCACUUCACCCAGCAAGGUGCUGGGGGCUGUUCUGGAAUAGGAUUUAGCAUGUUUUGAACACUCAGGAAAUACUUCAACAGCAGGCUUCGUCGGGAUGGCCGUCCAAGUUGGUAUACUUUCU
RNAcentral lists this long non-coding RNA (1923 nucleotides) under Felis catus (domestic cat). RNAcentral describes it as "lncRNA (ENSFCAG00000048044.1)". The record is from RNAcentral. Lineage: Eukaryota; Metazoa; Chordata; Mammalia; Carnivora; Felidae.